This 2764-nucleotide unclassified non-coding RNA is filed under the name Neodiprion lecontei (redheaded pine sawfly). RNAcentral's name for it is "organic cation transporter protein, transcript variant X2". Lineage: Eukaryota; Metazoa; Arthropoda; Insecta; Hymenoptera; Diprionidae. The record is from RNAcentral.
GUGCAGUGUUGCUCUGUCGAGCUAGGAUUUACCCUGCCGGGGUUAGUCCAGUAUUUUCCUUGUCAGGACGGAGAAAAUUUUUUUUAUUAAAAACAAUGAACUACGCAAAAAGUGAAACGCAAUAAGAUUUCACGCGUCGUUGUAAAUAACUAACCGCAUAAAUUUCAAAACAUAAUUCGAAAUAAUAAUAUUAAUCAAAAUAGAAAAAUAACGUAACAAAAUUAUGUGAUAGAAAGAUUUUAUUUCAUCGAAGUGAUAUGAAAAUUUAAUAAUGUAUAAAUUAUUUAUCCAAGUAUUCAUUACACUGCAGAGGUGACGGUGAAACGAGAAAUUCGGGCUACCCAGAAUAACAUACAGGAUCCUUAGCCAGUGUCUUAAGUUUUGAUGACUUUUUGGACGCGUUAAAAUCAAAUAAAUACCUCAAAGGGUAUUUCAUUAUUUAUUUAUUUAUUUGUUUUUUUUUUUUUGUCAGGUUAAAUGACAUUUAAAUUUAACUAAACUGUCAAAAAUUGUCUUCUAAAUAGAUUUAAUAUUGGAUUCUAUACUUUAAGAAAAGCAUAAAAUAAGUUGAAAAUAAUAUUGAGAAGUUGCUGUAAAAAGUACCAUCAUACAAUCACCAUGCCGCCACAGGAAAAAUUUCAAAACCACGUAUCAGAACGCGUUACAACGAAUGAAGAAACUUGCCCGGAUCUUGUGGAAAAUGGUUGUUCAACAUCUCAAGGAACCAUUUGUCAAACCGCUAAAAUAGCUAAUUCAUCAGUAUCGAUCGGUGGCAAUAAGGAUGGCAAUGUCAAUAAGGAUAUCGACUUUGACGAUUUACUUCCAUACGUUGGAGAAUUUGGACUUUAUCAGAAGAUACUUUUCAUUCUCAUGAUCCCUUUCGCUUUCUUCGUGGCUUGGGUUUACUUUUCUCAAAUUUUCAUCACUUUAAUACCCGAAGAACAUUGGUGUAAAGUUCCAGAAUUGGCGAACUUGUCGGUCGACCAAAGGAUAUCAUUGGCUAUACCUCCGGCCGCGGCUGAUGGAAACGGCGAGGAAUCUUUCACUACGUACUCGAGAUGUUCCGUCUACGCGGUCAAUUUCACCGAACUCUUAGAGCAGGGCGUCACAGCAGCCGAUCCAUCCUGGCCGAUUCAAAAGUGCCAACAUGGCUGGGAAUUCAAUUUUACCGAAAUCCCGUACGCCAGUAUUGCGGCUGAGCUGGAAUGGGUUUGUGACAAUGCAGCUCUGCCAUCUUUAGCACAGAGUAUAUUUUUCGUCGGAGCAAUAUUCGGUGGAUUAAUUUUCGGAUGGAUCGCCGAUAGAUACGGAAGAAUUCCAGCACUAGUCGGUACAAAUCUGGCAGGUUUCAUUGCCGGAAUCGCUACGGUUUUUGCCACUAGCUUCUGGGAGUUUUCGUUAUGCCGUUUUUUAGUUGGCUUGGCUUUCGACAACUGUUUCACGAUGAUGUACAUUUUAGUUCUCGAAUACGUGGGACCUAAAUGGCGAACGUUUGUUGCGAACAUGUCCAUCGCUUUGUUCUUCACCUUUGCCGCAUGCAUUCUACCCUGGAUAGCAUAUUUUCUGGCUGACUGGCGUUUAACUUGUAUCGCAACUUCCGGGCCCUUAAUAUUGGCUAUCGCAACACCGUGGCUAGUUCCGGAAAGUGCGAGGUGGUUAGUCAGUCAGGGCAAGGUAGACAAGGCUGUCUUAAUCAUGAGGAAGUUUGAACGAAUCAAUGGAACAAACGUCCCUGAAAGCAUCUACAAAGAAUUCAAGGACACUUGUGCCAGAAUUCAGAAGGAAGAAGAAACUGACAGAGCUCAUUCUGUGUUGGAUCUUUUCAAGACACCACGAUUACGGAAUAUCACCAUUCUCCUGAUAGUUAUCUGGAUGGCGAUAUCUUUGGUCUUCGAUGGACAUGUUCGGAACGUUGGCAGCUUGGGUUUGAAUGUUUUCAUGACAUUCACCGUAGCUUCCGCCACAGAACUUCCAGCCGACACAUUGCUUACGGUUCUUCUUGACAAAUGGGGUCGUCGAUGGCUAGCCUGCGGUUCAAUGGUGUUUUCCGGAAUUUUCAGCCUAUGGGCUUGCGCUGUUCCAACAGGCAUUUAUUCAGCGAGUCUGGCUAUAAUGGGACGAUUCUGCGUAAACAUAUCUUACAAUAUCGGACUGCAAUAUGCUGCCGAACUUCUGCCUACUGUUGUCAGAGCCCAGGGUGUUGCUCUGAUUCAUAUAAUGGGUUACGUCUCCAGCAUUGUUGCACCCUUCAUCGUUUACAUGGCUGUUUUGUCACCCAUAGUGCCGCUAUUAGUCCUCGGCAUCCUCGCCAUACUUGGCGGAGGACUGGCUCUCUUCUUACCGGAGACUCUCGACAAAGAACUCCCACAGACGCUGCAGGACGGUGAAGAUUUUGGAAAGGAUCAGGGUAUAUGGGACAUGCCUUGCUUGGCAAAGAAAGCUGACGAUGAAGAAGUUCCACCACCUAUGAUUCGUUCUUUGGCUCAUGGAAGUGUUCGAGGUUCCAUGCGAGCAUCACUGCGUGGCGAAACCCUCAGGAGCAGUAUGAUUCAAAGAUCAAGUGUCAGGUCACGUAGGAGCGUCGCUCCAACGGUGCAAGUGGAAAGAUUGUAAAAAAAAAUCGCAUUUCGACCAUUAUCAUACUUCAAACUUUGUUCUUCAUCACGAAAACUUGUAACAAAAUAUGUGCGUACAGGCUGUGCGGGGUAAAUGCAAGAGUGUGCAUACGGACGAAUCACACCUAAUCCCAGUCAGAUCGGGAGAG